CAAUACCGUGAGGUGGAGCGAAUCNCAAAACCCGGUCUCAGUUCAGAUUGCAGGCUGCAACUCGCCUGCAUGAAGUUGGAAUUGCUAGUAAUCGCGAAUCAGAAUGUCGCGGUGAAUACGUUCCCGGGCCUUGUACACACCGCCCGUCACACCAUGAGAGUUUGUAACACCCAAAGCCGGUGGGGUAACCUUUUGGAGCCAGCCGUCUAAGGUGGGACAGAUGAUUGGGGUGAAGUCGUAACAAGGUAGC
Molecule: ribosomal RNA, 250 nt
Filed under: uncultured bacterium
Lineage: Bacteria
Description: partial 16S ribosomal RNA
Rfam family: Bacterial small subunit ribosomal RNA
Source: RNAcentral